Molecule: ribosomal RNA, 491 nt
Filed under: uncultured bacterium
Lineage: Bacteria
Description: partial 16S ribosomal RNA
Rfam family: Bacterial small subunit ribosomal RNA
Source: RNAcentral
AUUGAACGCUAGCGGGAUGCUUUACACAUGCAAGUCGAACGGCAGCACGAAAAGAGCUUGCUCUUUUUGGUGGCGAGUGGCGAACGGGUGAGUAAUGUAUCGGAACGUACCCAGUAGCGGGGGAUAACUACGCGAAAGCGUGGCUAAUACCGCAUACGCCCUACGGGGGAAAGGGGGGGUCGCAAGACCUCUCACUAUUGGAGCGGCCGAUAUCGGAUUAGCUAGUUGGUGGGGUAAAGGCUCACCAAGGCAACGAUCCGUAGCUGGUUUGAGAGGACGACCAGCCACACUGGGACUGAGACACGGCCCAGACUCCUACGGGAGGCAGCAGUGGGGAAUUUUGGACAAUGGGGGAAACCCUGAUCCAGCCAUCCCGCGUGUGCGAUGAAGGCCUUCGGGUUGUAAAGCACUUUUGGCAGGGAAGAAACGGCGCUGACUAAUACUUGGCGCAACUGACGGUACCUGCAGAAUAAGCACCGGCUAACUACGUG